Molecule: ribosomal RNA, 254 nt
Filed under: uncultured bacterium
Lineage: Bacteria
Description: partial 16S ribosomal RNA
Rfam family: Bacterial small subunit ribosomal RNA
Source: RNAcentral
UACGUAGGGGGCAAGCGUUGUCCGGAUUAUUGGGCGUAAAGAGCGUGUAGGCGGCCUGACAGGUCUGCUGUGAAAACUCGAGGCUCAACCUCGAGAUGUCGGCGGAAACCGUCUGGCUAGAGUCCGGAAGAGGAGAGUGGAAUUCCUGGUGUAGCGGUGAAAUGCGCAGAUAUCAGGAAGAACACCUAUGGCGAAGGCAGCGUCUCUGGGACGGUACUGACGCUGAGACGCGAAAGCGUGGGGAGGCGAACAGG